UACGGAGGAUGCGAGCGUUAUCCGGAUUUAUUGGGUUUAAAGGGUGCGUAGGCGGGAUGCCAAGUCAGCGGUAAAAAUGCGGUGCUCAACGCCGUCGAGCCGUUGAAACUGGCGUUCUUGAGUGGGCGAGAAGUAUGCGGAAUGCGUGGUGUAGCGGUGAAAUGCAUAGAUAUCACGCAGAACUCUGAUUGCGAAGGCAGCAUACCGGCGCCCUACUGACGCUGAGGCACGAAAGCGUGGGCAUCGAACAGG
Molecule: ribosomal RNA, 252 nt
Filed under: uncultured bacterium
Lineage: Bacteria
Description: partial 16S ribosomal RNA
Rfam family: Bacterial small subunit ribosomal RNA
Source: RNAcentral